AGGAGCACAAGAAGUAUGUGAAGAUGCAAAGACACGUGUAGAGUACCUGUGGACCAGAGACCACCAGAGACUGUGCAAGAGGAAAAACUUCCCAAGAAGAAAAAGACUCAUUACGAAGAGGAGUCACAGUCUCAGAGACAGUCCCACCUUCCUCUGAACAGACAAGCAAAGGAUAUGCCAACAAAAGCCGAGGACACUGGGUGACUUUGAUUUCCCCAAUAUGCACUGCUGGAAUUACAUUUGGUUCAAGAAAACUGUUCUAUGCUAAGUCUAUUAUGCUAUUUUAUGCAGAAACUAAAGACAAAAGAAUGCAGUUGGUCUUUUUUUUUUUAAACACUCGCUUUAUCUUUUUAGUCGCGCAACUUAUCAGCCUUUCAGACUUUUCUAAUUGAAAUUACAAUUGUCCUUAAAGGGACAGUCUACACUAAAAUUGUUAUUGUUUAAAAAGAUAGAUAAUGCCUUUACUACCCAUUCCUCAGUUUUGCACAACCAAUAUUAUAUUGUGAUAUUAAUAUACUUUAUAACAUUUAAGUCUCUAAAUUUUUACCUGUUUCUAAGCCACUACAGACAGCCUCUUAUCACAUGUUUUUUUAUUUGCUUUUCACAACAGGGGACUGCUAGUUCAUGUGGGCCAUAUAGAUAACAUUGUGUUCACGCCAGAGGAGUUAUUUAAGAUUUAGCACAAGACACUACUAAAUGUAAGUCAAUAGAUAAUAAAUAAAAAGUCAUGUGAUCAGGGGGCUGUCAGAAGAUGCUUAGAUACAAGGUAAUCACAGAGGUAAAAAGUAUAUUAAUAUAACUGUGUUGGUUAUGCAAAAUUGGGGAAUGGGUGAU
This is a long non-coding RNA of Bombina bombina (fire-bellied toad), 834 nucleotides long. RefSeq lists it as uncharacterized. Lineage: Eukaryota; Metazoa; Chordata; Amphibia; Anura; Bombinatoridae. The record is from RefSeq and is a predicted model, not a curated record. The transcript has 3 exons.